GCGUGCUUAACACAUGCAAGUCGAACGGAAUUAGGGGCUUGCUCCUAAUUUAGUGGCGCACGGGUGAGUAACGCGUGGAUAACCUACCCUGGUAUCUGGGAUAACAUCUCGAAAGGGGUGCUAAUACCGGAUAAGCCCACGGGAACUUUGGUUCUUGCGGGAAAAGGUGGCCUCUAUUUAUAAGCUACUGUAUCAGGAUGGGUCCGCGUACCAUUAGCUAGUUGGUAGUGUAAUGGACUACCAAGGCUACGAUGGUUAGCUGGUCUGAGAGGAUGAUCAGCCACACUGGAACUGAGACACGGUCCAGACUCCUACGGGAGGCAGCAGUGGGGAAUUUUGCGCAAUGGGGGAAACCCUGACGCAGCAACGCCGCGUGAGUGAUGAAGGCCUUCGGGUCGUAAAGCUCUGUCAGAGGGGAAGAAGUGUAUGGGUGCUAAUACCGCUUAUACUUGACGGUACCCCUAAAGGAAGCACCGGCUAACUCCGUGCCAGCAGCCGCGGUAAUAC
This 507-nucleotide ribosomal RNA is filed under the name uncultured Geobacter sp. RNAcentral's name for it is "bacterial SSU rRNA". It matches the Rfam family "Bacterial small subunit ribosomal RNA", at positions 42 to 526 of the family's 1533-position model. Lineage: Bacteria; Pseudomonadati; Thermodesulfobacteriota; Desulfuromonadia; Geobacterales; Geobacteraceae. The record is from RNAcentral.